GACGAACGCUGGCGGCGUGCUUAACACAUGCAAGUCGAACGGAAAGGCCCUGCUUUUGUGGGGUGCUCGAGUGGCGAACGGGUGAGUAACACGUGAGUAACCUGCCCUUGACUUUGGGAUAACUUCAGGAAACUGGGGCUAAUACCGGAUAGGAGCUCCUGCUGCAUGGUGGGGGUUGGAAAGUUUCGGCGGUUGGGGAGGGACUCGCGGCUUAUCAGCUUGUUGGUGGGGUAGUGGCUUACGAAGGCUUUGACGGGUAGCCGGCCUGAGAGGGUGACCAGCCACAUUGGGACUGAGAUACGGCCCAGACUCCUACGGGAGGCAGCGGUGGGGAAUAUUGCACAAUGGGCGGAAGCCUGAGGCAGCGACGCCGCGUGCGGGAUGACGGCCUUCGGGUUGUAAACCGCUUUCGCCUGUGACGAAGCGUGAGUGACGGUAAUGGGUAAAGAAGCACCGGCUAACUACGUG
Molecule: ribosomal RNA, 468 nt
Filed under: uncultured bacterium
Lineage: Bacteria
Description: partial 16S ribosomal RNA
Rfam family: Bacterial small subunit ribosomal RNA
Source: RNAcentral